CGUGGAGUUUUUCUUCUAGACCCUGGCUGAGAAAGCCUUUAACCUAUGGAAAUGAGAGUUCCUUCUGCUGGUGAACAUCCUCUCUAGACGACGACGCCUUACUGUCGUCAUCGUGAGACCUCUUUGGCACUUGCUCCUGACUCUGCUCAGAUCUAGGAGCCGGUGGGAGUACUUCCUCUACGAUACUCGCAGAGAUGUAGAGUAUCAUGGAGAACCAGGCUGUAGUGGUGGGAUUCGCACAACUGCAGUAUAUUCGUUCUUGGUCCUCUCUUCCAUCGCUGUCCUCAAGGCUGUGAUCAUGGCUACUUCUGCUGCAUGGUUCCACAUGACCACAUACCACAACUAGGUGGAAGGAGUGUCUCUUCAACUGUAGCGUGAUCAAAGCUCUCCCCGGUAAAAGCCAUCUAUUUGAUCUCAGAAAGAGAUCAUCCUAGAACAUGAAGAAGAUGAUCAUAAAAGGAAAAGGAUAUGAUGGCCUACGCGUGAAGUUCAAAAGUGAAGUUGAGGCUAGAAUUGCAGCGAGAAGAGUCUUCCAGAGAAUUGCCAAGCCAGGAUUAGAUUUGAUGAUUUGGAGGACAUCACUCGGUUUCUUCCAACUGCUGGUGCUCUAAAGCUUUUGAUCAUAUUCCCUAGAUUAUUGGAGAGGGAGACUUCUCAAAUCAACAAAAAAAAAAAAAAAA
Molecule: long non-coding RNA, 680 nt
Organism: Camelina sativa (false flax)
Lineage: Eukaryota; Viridiplantae; Streptophyta; Magnoliopsida; Brassicales; Brassicaceae
Source: RefSeq, a predicted model, not a curated record